Molecule: ribosomal RNA, 254 nt
Filed under: uncultured bacterium
Lineage: Bacteria
Description: partial 16S ribosomal RNA
Rfam family: Bacterial small subunit ribosomal RNA
Source: RNAcentral
AACCCAAAGCUGGCGACCGGCGCACGGGUGAGUAACACGUAUCCAACCUGCCUCAUACUCGGGGAUAGCCUUUCGAAAGAAAGAUUAAUAUCCGAUAGCAUAUAUUUCCCGCAUGGGUUUUAUAUUAAAGAAAUUCGGUAUGAGAUGGGGAUGCGUUCCAUUAGUUUGUUGGGGGGGUAACGGCCCACCAAGACUACGAUGGAUAGGGGUUCUGAGAGGAAGGUCCCCCACAUUGGUACUGAGACACGGACCAA